Molecule: ribosomal RNA, 372 nt
Filed under: uncultured bacterium
Lineage: Bacteria
Description: bacterial SSU rRNA
Rfam family: Bacterial small subunit ribosomal RNA
Source: RNAcentral
GUAGGGUGCGAGCGUUAAUCGGAAUUACUGGGCGUAAAGCGUGCGCAGGCGGUUGUGUAAGACAGGUGUGAAAUCCCCGGGCUUAACCUGGGAAMUGCGCUUGUGACUGCACGGCUAGAGUAUGGCAGAGGGGGGUGGAAUUCCACGUGUAGCAGGUGAAAUGCGUAGAGAUGUGGAGGAACACCGAUGGCGAAGGCAGCCCCCUGGGCCAAUACUGACGCUCAUGCACGAAAGCGUGGGGAGCAAACAGGAUUAGAUACCCUGGUAGUCCACGCCCUAAACGAUGUCUACUAGGUGUUGGGUGAGGAGACUCAUUGAGUACCGCASCUAACGCGUGAAKUCNACCGCCUGGGGAGUACGGUCGCAAGAUUA